GUUGUGGCUCAGUGGCAGAGCGCUUGCCUACAUGCAAGGGGCACUGGGUUCGAUCCUCAGCACGACA
This 67-nucleotide transfer RNA is filed under the name Marmota monax (woodchuck). RNAcentral describes it as "tRNA.Undet". The stretch from base 3 to 62 matches the Rfam family "tRNA", at positions 6 to 65 of the family's 71-position model. From Rfam's summary of the family: Transfer RNA (tRNA) molecules are approximately 80 nucleotides in length. Their secondary structure includes four short double-helical elements and three loops (D, anti-codon, and T loops). Further hydrogen bonds mediate the characteristic L-shaped molecular structure. tRNAs have two regions of fundamental functional importance: the anti-codon, which is responsible for specific mRNA codon recognition, and the 3' end, to which the tRNAs corresponding amino acid is attached (by aminoacyl-tRNA synthetases). tRNAs cope with the degeneracy of the genetic code in two manners: having more than one tRNA (with a specific anti-codon) for a particular amino acid; and 'wobble' base-pairing, i.e. permitting non-standard base-pairing at the 3rd anti-codon position. Lineage: Eukaryota; Metazoa; Chordata; Mammalia; Rodentia; Sciuridae. The record is from RNAcentral.